RNAcentral lists this microRNA precursor (58 nucleotides) under Sarcophilus harrisii (Tasmanian devil). RNAcentral describes it as "Sha-Mir-7262-P5_pre stem-loop". Lineage: Eukaryota; Metazoa; Chordata; Mammalia; Dasyuromorphia; Dasyuridae. The record is from RNAcentral.
CGAAAGUCUUGAUGCAAUUUUAGCAAUUAAAGUGUAAAAAUGCACUAAGACUUUUAGG